AGAGUUUGAUCCUGGCUCAGGAUGAACGCUAGCGACAGGCUUAACACAUGCAAGUCGAGGGGCAGCACAGGUAGCAAUACCGGGUGGCGACCGGCGCACGGGUGAGUAACGCGUAUGCAACUUGCCUAUCAGAGGGGGAUAACCCGGCGAAAGUCGGACUAAUACCGCAUGAAGCAGGGGCCCCGCAUGGGGAUAUUUGCUAAAGAUUCAUCGCUGAUAGAUAGGCAUGCGUUCCAUUAGGCAGUGGGCGGGGUAACGGCCCACCAAACCGACGAUGGAUAGGGGUUCUGAGAGGAAGGUCCCCCACAUUGGUACUGAGACACGGACCAAACUCCUACGGGAGGCAGCAGUGAGGAAUAUUGGUCAAUGGCCGAGAGGCUGAACCAGCCAAGUCGCGUGAGGGAUGAAGGUUCUAUGGAUCGUAAACCUCUUUUAUAAGGGAAUAAAGUGCGGGACGUGUCCCGUUUUGUAUGUACCUUAUGAAUAAGGAUCGGCUAACUCCGUGCCAGCAGCCGCGGU
This 519-nucleotide ribosomal RNA is filed under the name Bacteroides sp. CS24. RNAcentral's name for it is "bacterial SSU rRNA". It matches the Rfam family "Bacterial small subunit ribosomal RNA", at positions 8 to 521 of the family's 1533-position model. The record is from RNAcentral. Lineage: Bacteria; Pseudomonadati; Bacteroidota; Bacteroidia; Bacteroidales; Bacteroidaceae.